AUGCUCGCUUCGGUACCACGUAUAUUAAAAUCGAAAGCAUACGGAGAAGAUUAGCAUGGCCCCUGCACAAGGAUGACACACA
RNAcentral lists this small nuclear RNA (82 nucleotides) under Sus scrofa (pig). Lineage: Eukaryota; Metazoa; Chordata; Mammalia; Artiodactyla; Suidae. The record is from RNAcentral.